GACGAACGCUGGCGGCGUGCCUAAUACAUGCAAGUAGAACGCUGAAGGAGGAGCUUACUGCUCUGGAUGAGUUGCGAACGGGUGAGUAACGCGUAGGUAACCUGCCUGGUAGCGGGGGAUAACUAUUGGAAACGAUAGCUAAUACCGCAUAAGAGUAGAUGUUGAUUGACAUUUACUUAAAAGGUGCAAUUGCACCACUACCAGAUGGACCUGCGUUGUAUUAGCUAGUUGGUGGGGUAACGGCUUACCAAGGCGACGAUACAUAGCCGACCUGAGAGGGUGAUCGGCCACACUGGGACUGAGACACGGCCCAGACUCCUACGGGAGGCAGCAGUAGGGAAUCUUCGGCAAUGGACGGAAGUCUGACCGAGCAACGCCGCGUGAGUGAAGAAGGUUUUCGGAUCGUAAAGCUCUGUUGUAAGAGAAGAACGAGUGUGAGAGUGGAAAGUUCACACUGUGACGGUAUCUUACCAGAAAGGGACGGCUAACUACGUGCCAGCAGCCGCCGUAA
RNAcentral lists this ribosomal RNA (511 nucleotides) under uncultured bacterium. RNAcentral's name for it is "partial 16S ribosomal RNA". It matches the Rfam family "Bacterial small subunit ribosomal RNA", at positions 28 to 523 of the family's 1533-position model. The record is from RNAcentral.